RNAcentral lists this long non-coding RNA (777 nucleotides) under Malus domestica (apple). Its description in RNAcentral is "long non-coding RNA (MDOM_LNC004455)". Lineage: Eukaryota; Viridiplantae; Streptophyta; Magnoliopsida; Rosales; Rosaceae. The record is from RNAcentral.
CACACACACACAAAACCAUGGUUUCAUACAAAACCGUGUGCCAAAACCGUGUGCCACACACACACACAUACACACACACCCUCAAUCCUUCCUUCUCUCUCGAAUCGUCUCGAUCCUUCCUUCUCUCUCUUCUCUCUCUGAGUCUUCUCCCUUCCUGUAAUUGUUCUCAGUCUUCUCCCUUCCCCCUUCUCCAGUUCUUCCACACACACACACAGACAUCAUCUCUCGAAUCUCGAUCCAUCUCUCGAUCCUCCUCGUCCGCGUCUCCCUCUGCUCCUCCCAUCUCACCAGCCCUAAACCCAGCCGUCGACACCACUCCAUAAUCGCCUUCUAAACCACCUUGUUCCAUGGAGAAGCCGUGUCGUUAGUCCUAGUCGUCGAGUCGUAACUGUCGCGUCAUCGCAAAUCAACGGUUGUGGAGAAACUGAAUGGAGGCAGCGGACACCAGAUGAUGGACCGGAAUUCAUCGUAGUCGUCGGUGAGGAGCACGACGUUGUCCCAGCCGUCUUGGAUUCGUGAGGAAGACGACGUUCCCAGGCUCCUACUACCAUAUUCUUCUCGGCUUGUAAUUUAAUUUUUGUACAGAUUUCGAAUUUUCUGCAUGUUGCACCAUUUUUGUACUGAAUUCGAUUUUAGGGAUUUAGGAAUUAGGGAUUCAGUUCAUUUGCUUUGAAUUCGAAUUUGGGGAUUUAGGGAUUCAGUUCAUUUGCUUUGAAAUCGAAUUUGGGGAUUUAGGGAUUCGGUUAAUUUGCUCCGGCGUUCUUCUCCGAUUUGAAC